Molecule: long non-coding RNA, 4590 nt
Filed under: Sus scrofa (pig)
Lineage: Eukaryota; Metazoa; Chordata; Mammalia; Artiodactyla; Suidae
Description: lncRNA (ENSSSCG00030012863.1)
Source: RNAcentral
UGAUAAUUUAGGGUGAAUAAUACAAAACGUUUUAACUCAGGCUACGGUUGUGAGCCUACUUCUCACCUCUAUCAAGUGAAGCCAAGCGAGGUAUGAAGAGUGCCUAACAGUUUACCAACUGUCAUAUAUAUCAUACCUCAUCUAAUACAACUCUCCGAAAAGAAAGCAUUGUAAAUAUCCCCACUUGAGAAAUGAUGAAAGGAAAAUUCAGAGAAGUCACAAAAUUUUCCCAGAGUUUACCAGGUAAUCGGAAGAGGCUGGUUUCUAAUCUAGAUCUCCUGACUCCAAGUGCCCUAAACCAUGGGCACUGACUGAAGAUUUCAUCUCCCUCCCUCUUCCAUCCUUUGCUUACAUUUAAAGUGCCUAUGAGCAAUAGAAAGGUUUUUUGAGGGUUGGGUUUUCAGAGAAUUUAUAGAUUUCAAUUCUUCCUGUUCUUUCUGCUCCCAAAUUAUCAUAGAUUACAUAAAGUUGGCUUCAUAUUAUCUCUUGGGUCUUUAGAUGAAAAAAUAAAUUUUAGAAAUAUAAUAAAAAAAAAAUGGGCUUAAUGUACACUUGGGUGGGGGCAGGGGAGGAUGGGGCCAAUGGUUUUUAUGUCUCUCUGCUCUAGAAUCAAAUCCAGAUUUGGCUCUAGGGCCAAAUCUCCAGUAGAAAAGUCAAUCCUGUCUUCCAAUCAAACAAAUGAAGUCAUCUGUGCUAAUAUUUAUACAAGGGAUACAAAGAGACUACACAGUAUCACUUUGUAGAUGCUGGGAAAAGACACCACCUGUUCAUUCAAAGCCGAAGACUUCAGUUCCACCUAGAUGUUGGGGAAAUUAACAUAAACUUUUUUGAAAGAAGGGUUAGUCAUUCAAAAUAGUAACAUGCUUUCUCCUCCCUCCAAAAAACAAUCUUCAGAUAAUUAGGAUUUGAGAAGAAAGGGGUCGGUUCUCUACAUCAUGUGGCACUGUGAAGAUAUGAUAAUUAACAUCCACUGUUAAGAGUUACAAAGCAAUCCCUUUCCUAUGUUAUUCAGAAGACUUGGCUCCUUAUUCCCGAAUUAAAAUGAGGACGAAAAGACCUAACUUCCACCUUGUCUCAACAUCAGUGGGCUGCUUUCCCCACAGCCAACCACCUUUCCUAAACUCCCGACUUUUCAACCGCUAAGACCAUGGAAACAUUAAGAAUGACCCUCCUUCAUCAAACCUCAACUUCCCCUCCCACUUGCACUUCUGACCAAUGUACUCACUUCAAAGCAAGCAACAGCAUCCUGUUCAGUUACUCAGUAGGGCCUCUGUAUCUUCACCUAACACCUUCAACCCAAAGAAAACCAAAAGCCACAAAAGACCUCCAUCAUCUCCACACAGCUCCUAGUCCGGCGAUGGCACUUAUGUAACCUCUGGUUUUUGCUCUUAUUGUUUAUUUUGUCAGUUGCCAUGGGAAAGACUGGACAACUCCAUCUGCAAGGGGUAAUUACUGGCCUUCCAAACACACACACACUCACGCAGCAGAGAAGAAGUAUGUGCAGUUAAAGACUUCUUCAAGGAGACCAAGCAAAGGUUAACCAAUGUAUUACUUUGCUGCUGGCAUGCACACAGAAAGGCAGCUGUUCGUUACCAACUAUACUCCAUAUUUUCAGCUCAAGUAUUCAUAAUCGAAAUUAGUAUCUCCUCACAAGUUAAUAUUUCUCAGGCACUACAGACUAAGUGGAUCAUCUUUGCACAAAGAAGAACCAUAAAUAGAAAUUCACAAGUCUGACUUUACCGAAUGUCAAUGAGGUUAAGAGAGGCUGAGCAACUCUCAUAGGACUGAUUAAUAGUGGAGUCAAGAGUCCAGCCCAGAGCCCACAGUCUUGCUGCACUGACCAUUGCUCACGGUGCCUGACCACAGCCUGGGUCACAAGCACCGCUGGCUUCUGGUCUGAUCUCCUGACAGGCUGAAGGGACUCCAACUCUCACCCAACCCAUCCAGUCAAAGUGAGAAAAAUACAAAGCUCCUUUGGUACCAAAGUGCCUAUGAUCACAGGCCACAAUAGUAACAGUGAUCCUCUCUUUUGAUUCCAGCACAAAAUAAAUAUGCAUGUGUGACUGACAUUCAAACGAUGUGGCCUUUUCCACUUUCUUCACCAGUUUCCAUUUCCUGCAGUUAACUCCUUAACACUCUUUGCAUGUCUUGCCAAAACCAUGGCUACCUGCUGAUGUACAAGAUAAAGUCAACUCUGAGUUUUAGGAGAUUUAAGAAUGUGGACUAGUAAGAAGAGCAGUAGUUCUGCUGCCAUCUACUUUGGUUUUUUUUUUUUUCCCCUGGGAGAAGAAAUAUUUAUCCCUUGGCCUCUUCUUUAAUGUAGGUAAAUCAUUUAGACUGUUGUGAUUCUUUUUUAAGUAGUUAAUUUACAAUGUUCUGUGAAUGUCUGCUGUGCAAAGUGACCCAGUUACACACAUAAACACAUUCUUUUUCUCACGUUAUCCUCCAUCAUGUUCCAUCACAAGGGAUUAGACGGAGUUCCCUGUGCUAUACAGCAGGAUCUCAUUGCUUAUCCACUCCAAAUGCCACAGUGAUUUUUAAUCUUUACCCUUUGGAUUGGAUUCCUAAGGAUGAAACAUUUGUAGAAUUCCCGAAGAAAACUCUCGUGGUAGUGCAAAGUUUAAAAUACAAUUAAAAGAGAUCAGGUGCUGUCAGAAGCAGUCUUGCAGACGAGGCUGGCCAUGUUAAUUGCUGCAUCUUUUAAUAUGUCAACAAACAUGGGUGGAGUCUCCAGAAGGGCCAGGCUCAUCCCUACCUCCCCUCACAGUCCAGUCUACCCUCCUGGACUCCACCGACCAGUGGGGGCAUCGGCCAGUGUAGACUGCCCCCUUCUCCAUCAGCACGGCACUCCCGGCUGUCACAUGCCCUUUCCAUUAACAGCCAGAGUUCUUGGGCUGCUUCCCAGAGGUGAGCAGGGAAAGGACAUCAAAACAUUUUUGUCUUUGCCCUCUCCUAGCACCACACUCUUACCCUUGCCCUAGAUGCUGCGGCCCACAGGAGUGAACGAGGAGGGCCUGGCCGGGGGGUGAGCCAUUCUACCUGCGGGAAUGAAGGCAGGCCCCAGAGCAGGGAGGCCGUGGAGCAGAAACCCCAGCUCACAGACCCAAGGCCAGAGCAGAGGCUGUAAUUAAACAUAAACUUGCCAGCAGCUCUCUCUUAACACAUGAAGCCAAAAGUUAAAACGUCUAAUGGUCUGGGGCCCAUGCCAAGCCCCAGCCCAGGGCCCUCCCCACAGAGACUAAUGCAAAGGAGUGAGGUGUGGCAGGGGCCAGACAACCAGGUGGCUGCAGGGAGCCCCUCUUCCAGGCUUCUGUGACGUGCUAACCACCAUCAGUGGUGCUUUGUUGAUGUAUCUGGCCCACCAGGAACAGUGUGGAGCCGACAGCCUUUGCUGGACUUCAUGUCUUUGGCUAAACAUGUGAGGUCCGUACUGCCGAACAAAGUGGCCACUAGACACACGUGGCUCACGGGCACUUGAAAUGUGGCCAAUCCCAGCCGAGAAGUGCUGAGCACUUCAAAGGCACAGAGGAUUACAUGAGCAUGAAAGUAGAUUACAUGAAAGUGGACUAUCUCAAUUUUUUUUAAUCUCCAUUACCUAUUAAAAUCAUAAGAGGUUGGCUACAUUGGUUAAGUAAACUGUAUGGUUAAAGUUCAUUUCACUUGGUUUUCUGUUUCCUAACAUGGCCUCUAGAACAUUUCAAAUCACACUUUACAUGUACAUAUAUACAAACACACGUGCGUCGUAUUUCACUUGGACGGCAUGGCUCUGGGUACGCCAUUAAUGCUGCUGAAGGAAUGAAUGCUGACUGAAGAGACAGCAUUCAAUAGUCCAUAGAAAUGGUUAAAAAAGGAGCAAGCCAUCACUCUUCUCUGAAGUAACGUUUGUAGCUGGAGCUACAUUUCAUUCUGAGUCACUUGCUAUGAGAAAAUGCUUACUAAUCACUCAGGACUCCAAAAGAAUGAGAGGGCGACAGACUGUCGGCCAGGCCACACCACCAAGGCCAAACAACCUUCGGUCCUAUGGUGGAGACUCCACAGAGCACAGGACCAAGCACACACACACACUGCAAGAAACUGCCAAAUGGAAAGAAAACAACCCAUCUGAGAACCCCACAGUUUUCCAAACUUCUCUUCACUCUAAACCUAACUCUGUUCUCAGCCCAACCCUUUGCUGUUCAAAUAUUCUUUAAGACUGUUUUAAGACAAUUCACUGCAAAUUAAAAGCACUAUGAGGUAUCAGCUCACACACACAUCAGGAUAGCUACUAUAAAAAACAAGAAUAAUAAGAUAAAAAGUAUUGGUGAGGCUGUUGAGGCAUUAGAACCUUUGUGCACUGUGGGUAGAAAUGUAAAAUGGUGCAGCUGCUUUGGAAAAAAAGUAUGGAGGUGCCUCAAAACAUGAAAACUAAAACUGCUAUAUGAUCCAGCAAUUCCAUUUCCAGGUAUGCAUCCAAAGGCACUGAAAGCAGGAUCUCUAGCAGAUCCUUGCAUGCCCAUUGGUCAUGGCACCAUUAAUUACAACAUCUAAGAGGUGGAGGAAACCCACGUGUCCAUCAACAGAUGAAUGGAUAAACAAAACGGGGUGUGUACC